UAGAUUGUAGAUACAUUCAGUCCGAAUUUUAUCAUCGUACUGAAAAUACUUCCUUCAGUCAUCAUCCCCGUCGCGGUUGGUGUCGUUACUUGGAACGUUGAAGGAAGAACGGUUCAACGCUGUAUUCACUAAGUGAAGUGCUGGCAGGCGAAUAAUAUGUAACACAAAAUUCUGCAGUAAAAUUUUUGAAGAAUUUCGUUCUCCGCGUUGUAUUCCUUGGGUUCAUACAUGGCAAAACACCAUAGUUCCAGCACGGUAGAUACAGACGAAUGCUGUCUGCGACAGCACUUUCGGGGGUGUUAAAAAUACUUUUCCGUUCGAGACCAAAAUGUAUUCGUUAUCCUUUGCAGCCAUCGACAAAGGCUUCGUCACCAUGUUUUUGCAAUGAAUUCGAUUUAAAUCGAUUUUUACCCGAAAAGAAAACGCGGAAAGGAAUCAGUCGUUUAGCUUGAAUACAUACGUACUCAUGGGGAGUCCUGUGCGCGAUUAGUUCCAGUGUCGUUCGGCUGAGACUUGUAAGGAUCCUUUUAACGUAAAUGAAAGCCAUAAAAUCGAAUUGAGUUACUUAUUCCGUUCCCCCUUGCUCGUGAAACGGGGUUAAAGGAUACAUAAAAACCUUGCACCCUUAGUACAUACUUACAUAUGUAUGUAAAUGCAAAUGAAAGCCACUUUGGUCUAGUGAAUAUUUUCAGUGUGUGAUGCAAAGGUGUGAGCCCAGCGCUGGCAUCAGCAGAGAGAGUAGUGUUGAUAGUAAAAACGGGGAAUCACCCUUCAAUUAAUAGACACUUUGAAAAUGAAACAAACAACAUUAAUUGCAAGGAUGCAGGCGUAUGCGUAAGGUCCCAGCAUAGCGCGGUCGUGAAUAGAAUGCAAAUGUGAAAAAUCCUGUGCAAUAACAAUGUGUAAUCAGCAAUCGCUUUGUUCGAGCAUGCAAAAGGAUACAGCCAAUGUGUUAACAAUUCAUAUAUAACGAUCAUUUGCAUAUAUGUGUAAUCAUUUGAGAAUAGUGACAUACAAAAUCUAACAUAAAUACUAAAGAAUAAAUCUUCAUAAUAAAUGUUAAAAAUGUCAUCAAUAUCGGCCCAGGGUGUGGUCGAACGUGCCUCCGCAGAAUUAUCGAAACGGAUCAAUGGAUUGGGAUUGCGAUCAAAGCACCAUCACGGCAAGACGUCGGUUAUGGAGCGAGUAACGAACGCACUAUGCGGCGGAAGCAGUAGUAACCACAACAGUAAUUCCGGCAAUUCAAUAACGAAUUGUCCCGAGAAACCCUCCCGGGUUCCAGUUCCCACAAGUAGUGCGAGUGGCAGUGGUGCAGGUGCUAACAGUCCGAUAGGAACUACAAGUAACCAAUGUAGCAUGUCUAGUGGAAAUAGCAGCAUUAGCACGUCGAGUAGUAAACAAUUGUCUUCGAGUAAUCAAUCAGGAGCGAGUGGCGGCAGCACCAGCAAGAGCCAGGCCGGCACCCCACAACAAAUGCGGAAACAUCAUCAAGGACAUCAUCAUCACACGUCCACCCACUCGUACCAAGCCUUAGGAACCAAUCCGAUGAUGUCGGCAUCGCAUGCACCCCCUCAACCACAACUACCCCCCGUUCUUACUCUCGACCAACUUUUCCAGGACGAACGAUUCCUUAGCAAAUUCUUUUUGUAUUUUAACUCGUAUGACCGACGUGUGCUCGCACAGGUGUGUACGAGGUGGCGUGAUAUCCUGUAUCGGAGUCCGCGGUACUGGUCCGGACUUUUGCCAACUUUGCAAUGCAGGGAACUUCGGCAGGUCCCUAGCCAGGAUCGCGUGAAACUUUACAAUUCAUUAGUACGUCGCGGGUUUCAUGCGUUGUGUUUGAUUGGUGCGCAGGAUGAGGAUGCUUUGGAUAUUGUACAUUCGUUCCCGUUAGCUUCAAAGCAUAUACACUCGUUAAGCUUGCGAUGUUCGUCAAUAAGCGAUAGAGGACUGGAAGCGCUAUUGGAUCAUUUGCAGUCUCUCUUCGAAUUAGAAUUGGCUGGGUGUAAUGAAGUUACGGAGGCUGGCCUCUGGGCAUGUCUUACACCGCGAAUAGUAUCAUUAUCUCUUGCCGACUGUAUAAAUAUCGCUGAUGAAGCCGUAGGAGCUGUUGCACAAUUACUUCCAUCAUUAUACGAAUUUUCAUUGCAGGCCUAUCAUGUUACGGAUGCCGCCUUAGGAUAUUUUUCACCUAAACAAAGUCAUAGCCUCAGUAUACUGCGGCUCCAAUCCUGCUGGGAGCUUACAAAUCACGGAAUCGUAAAUAUUGUACAUUCACUUCCACAUUUAACCGUAUUAAGCUUAUCGGGUUGCAGUAAGGUGACCGACGACGGCGUUGAAUUGAUAGCUGAAAAUUUACAAAAGCUACGCGCAUUAGAUUUAUCAUGGUGUCCACGUAUUACUGAUGCUUCGCUAGAAUAUAUUGCCUGUGAUUUAAAUCAAUUGGAGGAGUUAACUCUGGAUCGAUGCGUCCACAUAACCGACAUUGGUGUCGGGUAUAUUUCAACAAUGCUCUCAUUAACCGCCCUAUUCCUGCGUUGGUGUUCACAAGUUCGGGAUUUCGGUCUACAGCAUCUGUGCUCAAUGCGUAACCUUCAAGUUCUAUCAUUAGCCGGUUGCCCACUGCUGACCUCGUCUGGUCUGUCCAGUUUAAUUCAAUUACGACACCUACAAGAGUUAGAACUAACAAAUUGCCCAGGAGCUAGUCAAGAACUAUUCGAGUAUUUACAUGAACACUUGCCGAGAUGUUUGAUUAUCGAAUAAUACUUAGUAACGUUAAUGACUACUGCAAUUUUAUAGAUUUUUUGGGAUUACUUUACCUGAGCAGCGGGUUUUUAUCGUUAUACUCUAUAGAAUUUAAUAAAGAGCUGUUUGAACAAAACAUUCAGAAAACAAACAAAAAAUGCUUUAGUGGCAGCGGAUAGAUAACAUAAGAAAAUAUUGAAGGGACAGCGAUGGCGGGCGUUAAGCUACAACAUAAUAUCGCUUUCUGAUAGACUCUAAAUGCUAUACUUUUUCGAUAUGUUCGUUUUUUAUGGUCAAUGUAAAAGGCACCGAUUUUAGGAUAAAAACAGUAUUAAUGUAACCUUCUAUGAAGAAUUUUUCUGUUAAAUUACGUUUAGUAAUCGUUUAGAAAUAUUUUUGAAAUUUCAAGUGCGGCUUUAUACUUGGAUUAUGUAUGGACUGUUCAAAUUUAAAUCAAAUUACCGAAAAAAUAGGAUUUUUGCAAUAAUUUAGAUGAUUAUUUCCGAAUAUUAAAUCAGAAAAAAUUAGUUGUAAACAAAUUUAAAAAAAUGUUUCAUGAUAUUGAAAAGUCUUUCAAAUCAAAAUCUUCAUUCAUACAAUAUAUUUUUAAGAAGAACUCGAAUACCUAACUACACAUAUAUUGUAUGAAGAUAUAUGACUAAAAUAAGAUAGCUACCGGGGAAAGAAAGAAAUAUUAACUAAAAGACAAGCAAAAUUAAAUAAAAAUUAAAUUUUACUGUGACUUCUUAUAAGGAUAUAUUUGAAACAAAAAAAAACUUAUAAGGAUCUAUUUGAAAAAAAAAUCUAAAA
RNAcentral lists this unclassified non-coding RNA (3555 nucleotides) under Hermetia illucens (black soldier fly). RNAcentral describes it as "f-box/LRR-repeat protein 16, transcript variant X5". Lineage: Eukaryota; Metazoa; Arthropoda; Insecta; Diptera; Stratiomyidae. The record is from RNAcentral.